UUACCUUUCACAUUUCUGUCAAGAUGGUCAUAUGAAUUCAUUGAAGAGGCCAUUGAUUUGGUGUUGCUUAUUUCAAAUAGAUUUAGCAACUCAUUGCAAUAUUGAGUUUGACAAUUGAAAGUUCCCUCUUUCAUUUGUUUCACUUGCAACCUCAAGUUGAAAAUAAUCUCGUCCAUCAUUAACAUCUCAAAUUUUGCUACUCAUGAAUUUUAAAACUCCUUGCAUACAAAUUUAUUAGUUGUUCCAAAUAUAAUAUCAU
This 259-nucleotide long non-coding RNA is filed under the name Nicotiana benthamiana. RNAcentral describes it as "long non-coding RNA (NBEN_LNC041456)". The record is from RNAcentral. Lineage: Eukaryota; Viridiplantae; Streptophyta; Magnoliopsida; Solanales; Solanaceae.